Long non-coding RNA from Ictalurus punctatus (channel catfish), 452 nucleotides. NCBI's taxonomy places the organism in Eukaryota, Metazoa, Chordata, Actinopteri, Siluriformes, Ictaluridae. The record is from Ensembl.
UACACUAGAGGGAGGAGUGAGAGGAAGUGGGUUAAAAAAACAGAACAGCACAGAAAGCUUACUUGCAGCUCCCCUCCUCUUCCCCAUAAGAAAAAUACUGACCGCAGUUGUGUACAAAUCCUUACUGUGCACUGGAACAUUCACUCCCUAAAAAAUCCCACAAUGCCCACAAAAACCAGGGAGCAUCGAUGCUCACUAUGUUCCUCUACUGGAAAUGACGCCAUGUUUUUGAAGCCUCUCAGCAUGAAAAAAAAGGGACGGACUCUCAGCCAACUUUGGCUACAAAUAAUCUUGCUUGUCUUUUGUGAUGUUGUGACUGUUAUCCAUGAUUUUGUAGCCUGCCAUCAUUCAUUCAUCGUCAGUACGCUGAAGGUGGCGGAUCCAGAGCCUGUCCUAGGUACACUGGGUGUAAGGUUGGAAUACACCAUAGACAGGACGCCAAUCCAUCACAG